GAUGAAUAAGAUGCAUGAUUAAAGGAGGCUGAAACCCAAGGGGAGAAGUGCUCGACUGCCUUUACAACACUGUCAAUACAGCGAACAUGCUUAUCGGAAGGGCUAUUAAAUAGACGUUUGUCGCUAUCUUGAAGAUAUUAAACUGGCCUCUGGAUGACAAAGAUUUGGACAAGAUACACAAAAUUUAUAGACUAGUAGCUUCCAACGAUGUUCGCGUUGGGUAUUUCAGAUUUUGGGGAAUAAGAACAGAAGGCCACUUCACGGCAUGCGUGUGUUCACACAAUAAUAGACAAAUCCCAUUAUAGAGUAAUUUUAAAACUAGGCAAGGAGAUGCAAAUAAAUCACGACAGCUAGAAAGAGCAUACUAAAAUGAGUAAAAUUGCAAAGUUUAGUUGCGAAAUGUUGUAAAAUGCGGAACAUAUAGCCUUGCAAAGUUCGCAAAUUUUGUAUACUUUUGUAUUGCGUGCGGAAAUUGCUAAUUUUCGGCCCAAAUGUGGUAGCAAUUAACGCACGCAAUACAAAAGUAUACAAAAUUUGCUAUGUUUUCCGCAUUUUACAACAUUUCGCAACCAAGCUUUGCAAUGUUACCCAUUUUAGUAUGCUCUUUCUAGCUGUGGUGAUUUAUUUGCAUCUCCUUGCCUAGUUUUAAAAUUAGUCUAUAAUGGGAAUUGUGUAUUCGAGAGCGGUUUGGGGCUUUGAGAUUGUUUGAAUGUUCAUUUAUUUAAAUUUGGCUAAAUUUAUACUCUUUUAAUAAUAACUCUAUAGUAUGUGCCGAUUACAUGAAGCAUUUUCAAGCCUGGGGAUAAACUAGUUUUAUACUGUUGACAGCGUUGGAAUUUGUUCAAUAAAGUAGCCCUCGGCCUGGGUGCUCGAAACAGG
Molecule: non-coding RNA, 879 nt
Organism: Paramuricea clavata
Lineage: Eukaryota; Metazoa; Cnidaria; Anthozoa; Malacalcyonacea; Plexauridae
Source: the annotation of a GenBank genome assembly